UACGGAGGGUGCGAGCGUUGUCCGGAAUCACUGGGCGUAAAGGGCGCGUAGGCGGCCUGGCAAGUCGGUGAUGAAAGCCCGUGGCUCAACUACGGGUCGGCCACCGAUACUGCUAUGGCUCGAGUUUGGUAGAGGCAGAUGGAAUUCCGGGUGUAGCGGUGGAAUGCGUAGAGAUCCGGAAGAACACCGGUGGCGAAGGCGGUCUGCUGGGCCAAGACUGACGCUGAGGCGCGACAGCGUGGGGAGCAAACAGG
Molecule: ribosomal RNA, 254 nt
Filed under: uncultured bacterium
Lineage: Bacteria
Description: partial 16S ribosomal RNA
Rfam family: Bacterial small subunit ribosomal RNA
Source: RNAcentral